Molecule: ribosomal RNA, 444 nt
Filed under: uncultured bacterium
Lineage: Bacteria
Description: bacterial SSU rRNA
Rfam family: Bacterial small subunit ribosomal RNA
Source: RNAcentral
CCUACGGGAAGGCUGCAGUGGGGAAUAUUGCGCAAUGGGGGGAACCCUGACGCAGCAACGCCGCGUGAAGGAAGAAGGUCUUCGGAUUGUAAACUUCUUUGAUGAGGGACGAAGUAAGUGACGGUACCUCAAAAACAAGCCACGGCUAACUACGUGCCAGCAGCCGCGGUAAUACGUAGGUGGCGAGCGUUGUCCGGAAUUACUGGGUGUAAAGGGCGUGUAGGCGGGGAUGCAAGUCAGAUGUGAAAGACCGGGGCUCAACUCCGGGGUUGCACUUGAAACUGGGCAUCUUGAGGGCAGGAGAGGAAAGUGGAAUUCCUGGUGUAGCGGUGAAAUGCGUAGAUAUCAGGAGGAACACCGGUGGCGAAGGCGGCUUUCUGGACUGACCCUGACGCUGAGACGCGAAAGCGUGGGUAGCAAACAGGAUUAGAUACCCUGGUAGUC